UAACUUUGAGUGUAUAUGCACAAAAAAUUUUGAUUUUUUUAGAAAUAAGUAACAUUAUUAAAGUUAA
This 67-nucleotide transfer RNA is filed under the name Amblyomma tholloni. RNAcentral describes it as "tRNA-Gln". The record is from RNAcentral. Lineage: Eukaryota; Metazoa; Arthropoda; Arachnida; Ixodida; Ixodidae.